This is a long non-coding RNA of Scophthalmus maximus (turbot), 4866 nucleotides long. NCBI's taxonomy places the organism in Eukaryota, Metazoa, Chordata, Actinopteri, Pleuronectiformes, Scophthalmidae. The record is from Ensembl.
CUCCAAACCAGCGUCACAUUGUAGUAUUAGACUGGAAGAACAAGACCCAGCUUCGUUUACUGUAUUUGCGCGCUGCCUCUAUUUUAUAUGAAUAUUAAUAUGGAAAAAUUAUGGUUUUCUUCACUUAAAACUAACUUCACCGCGGUACAUGUGGUUGAGGUGCACGCAAAAAAAGCAUAGCUCACGGCAACAAACAAGUCCUCGCAACGGAGUAAACACCUGUUAAGGAAUGAAAAAACAUGAAUACCACAAUAACGACGGCUCAGUUUAAUCCAUUCAACCGCCAAGAAAGUCACAGACUAACAGAAAGGGAGGGGGCGGGGCUACACCUACCGGUAUUCGAGGACUUGGUUCCCUCUGGACGUGACUCCGCUCCUCUUUCUCUCAGAUAGAUCGAUGGACUUUAUUGAUCCCAAACUGGUUGAUUCCGGCGUUGCAGCAGCAGGUUUACUAAGCUUGCACAACAUUUCUGUUUGGGGGGGGUCGCUGCCCCCGCUGCUGAAACAAAUCCUAGAGGAAACACUGUAUGUGAUAAUUCUCGGAGCAUCUUCGCCUCUGCGCCUUCAGUGUGAAGACCUGUGGAAUAUCAUAUACCCCCAAAAAUUGGCUGUGGCCAAGAGAGUGUCCAGAGAAAUGUCAGAAUGCCGACAGGUUGUUAUCAUCAGUGCCCUUAUCUUCCCCUUGCAGGAGCACCGGCACAACGAAAACAGCCUGCACAUCCCACCAGUCAAGGCUUCACGGCCUGCUGCAGCAGCCAUCAAACUCUAUCAGAUGAAGGACACGAGCAGAAAGGAUUUUUGUUCAUUUCUAACCUACCUAACAUUUACACAGCCCUGUAAAGUUUAAUUCUAUUAACUUCAGUGGUAUUUUGGGUCUAUGGGUUUUAAUGUGGUGCAGGGCAUGUGCACAAAAUAAAACUAUGUAUAUAAUGAAAUAAACAUGGAAAAACACACAUACUAUUAUCGUGAAUUAUAUAAAAAUAAUAAAUCCGCAUUAUAUACAAAUGUCAAGGAAUUGCCAAGGGUCUUUUCAAUUAUGCAUGCAAUGAAAAAAGCAUCUAUCCAUCCAUUGCUGGGUUCGUUCCUUAUUUUAAAAAACAGGCCUCUAGGUUUGUGAAUUUAGUAUGAUGUCUGGGACAGCAAUUAGGCCGUUUUCUACACAACAACCAUCAUAUUUUUUAUCAACAACAGGAUAGCAAAAUAUUCUGAAGAGAGUAUGGCUAAAAAAAAAAACAUCCAUAGUUUGACAAUAAAAUAGAGAAGGCGUUGGGAGAUGGCAGUGAUGUAAAUGCACAUGAAACUCUGCAAAAAAAGCCCUAAGCUUAUCUAUCCAUCUGCAAAGUUUAUGACAGAAUCCAGAAUAUAGAGGAAAAUACGAUACAAUCACCAUUAAAUUCGGGAAACAAGGGUCUUUGUUAGUUUCAGAUCGACUGCAGUUGUCAUAUUACUGUCCAGCACCCCAUGUGGUUUGAACACAAAUGCACUUGUGCCCACCUGUGCAACCAUUGGUGUGCAUCCCCCGGUUCUGUGGGCAAUGCCCCCGCCCCCCUCCCGAAGGCAUGAUAAACAUGGAGCAAUAUAACCACAUAGCAUAUGCAUUUAACGGGGAGAAGCUCGGCUAUACGCCCACGCCAACCAUUUUCACUUGAACGAAACACAAUUCCAACACCAAUUAUCUAAAUCAGCACGUCACAAAACACAAAAGCUGGGGAUGAUAAUCAUGCUAACAACACAAGCUGUACCGCAUAUGAAAGCCAUAACUCCACAUUCCAAGGGUAUAUAUCUCAUCUUUCUACGACCAAACCUUACUUCAGCAGCCGAACAAGAGCAAAAAAAGUUUCACAACAAACAGUGACAUACAAAAAGGAUGUCUCACCUUUGCUGUUUUGUCACGAUGUAGUCCAUUACUCUGCUAAAAAGGUUAAUCCAAUGUCCCUGUGUCAUUUCAAAAUGAUUCCUGACAGUUUCCAUUCAUAUUUAGUUCCAGUGGAACGUAUCUAAUAUGAAAUAGGUACGGCCCCUUUCUUUGCACGCAGUGUAUUUGCUGCCUUGUAGUUUGCGUAUGGUGAUGUUGACAUGGAUUUGAAGGCUGUCCGUUGACUCCAUUGGUUCUGCCGGUACAAUGGAGGUCUCAAUCAUCCAAAUUGGCUGCAGAGAUAUUGCCCUGUGUUUCAUAUGGUGGCACUACAUAGAGAAGCUUAUCAGAGAGCUUUUACAUUUAUCAUUGAGAUAGAGUAAGUACCUAUAGUGGCAUAUAAGUGAAGUUAUAUAGAUAACAUGAUUAUUCAUACAGACCAUGAAGUUGCAGAGAUAUACUCUAUUUAAAGGGGCAGUAGGCGAUUCUAAAGCAAAACACGGUUUGUAAAAAUCAGUGAAUAUUUCCUCACAGUCCACUAGCUGUCGGUUCUGUGUGCGCACUGAAAAUCUGUCUGGGUUUGUAAACAUCACUCGUCGACGCCUCAAGAGACCCACUAGCGAGUGUCACUGCAACGACACGGUUUUGGCCUAGUGGUUUGCACUUUUGUCUCCCAUACCCAUAAUUUUCGAGCAGGGGCAUGUGAAAAAGGGCCUUGGAGGUUUGGUCAGGUGCACUGUUUUGGAAAGCGACCAACAAAAGCGUUGUCUGGAAGCAGUGGAGCAGUUUUUCAAUGAUAUUUUCAGGAUGCAUUAUCGAGAUGGUAAGACGCACCAAUAGGCGCCUGUACGACGCAGACACACUCUGCUUGUCACGCACACAAAUGGUCUGCUCAUGCACAAAGUGAAACAGUUUUAUCUACAGAAAAGAGUUCUGUCUCAUUACCCUUAAGGUCUGAGUUCAACCCUUUUUUCCCGGACUUUUUUUCCUGCUGUUCAAGUAGCGAGAGUCGACAUGGGACACGCCCUGCAUGCACUUGCACAAUGUACUUCAGAUUGUUCCAAUAGAACCCUUCAUGUGUAGGGGCCUGUACUAAUGGCACCUAAUCAUUACACUUGAAAUCAUUUGAUUUUUAAUUCGACUUGCCAUGUAGAAAAUGCAAUAUAGGAUGUUUUUCUACGUUAUGUUAACCUUGUAGUAACUACAAUGAUGGUCUUUCACAAGAGAAACCUGGGAACAUGGAGACUUACACAAGGUCACAGUGUAAUUACUCUGAACUACACAAUGCAAAUCUGCAAACAGCUUGAAGAAGGAAAGGAAAUUUGAUUUAAUUCAAACAAUUUAGGUAAAUUGUGCCUUGUGUGUCUAUCUGUGGAUAGAGAUGGAUCCAGUGUUUUGUUUUUCUUCUCCCCUUUGUGCCCACACAUCAUCUCCUUAAGUGAAAUCUCCAAAACUCAAUAAGUUUGUGGGUUUGUUUUAUUAGUACUACUUUUAAUGAAAAGACGUCCUCAGUCCAGGAAGACACUCGUUUUUUUCCCCCCAUUUUCUCUUUUCCAAUGCCUGCGCUCUCGUCACUUAAUUGUUGUUGCCUAGAGCUCUUACAUCCACUCUCGCACAUCUGUGUUUACAGCUGCAGUAAAAAAAACACACACACAGACACACACUUACACACGCACACACACAGCAAUUGUACAUACACAUGCAGACACACUUCUUUUUUAAAUUAGUGCCAUGCUUGUUCAUGCAGUAUUGGUCUGUGAAAACAACUUUGAGCCUGUUUGUUUAAAGCGCUCUAUAAAUAAAUGUGACUUGAUGACGAUGAAUGAUGUGAUCAAUGUGGAAAAUCACAGGUACUUGAAGGCUCACUGGAAAACCAUGAAUCUCCUCUGAGUAGCUUAGGUUGACUCAACUUCAAAACAUCUGCUUGUUUAUUUAUUUUUUGGGGCUUUCACAGCAUCAGACAUUAUGAUUGGCAUCACAGGCCAAUAUAAACAUCAGUAGCAAAGUCUAAUAUGACCUGAUUAACUUAUGAAUGCACAUAAGACUCGCUGAGACGACUACUUUGUCUAGUUUUUCCAAAGCGUUUUCUCCAAGUCAAAUGUAACUGCAGGGUGUCUGCCAGCGAUUGGGCUCUCUUUAAAAAUGUGUCGACUGACUAACGGCUGCAUAUUGCGUCCAAAAUGUGACCUAAUUUCAAGAAGAUUCAACACAAACGAUACGUUUCAACACUCAUAUUUUCCAAGAGCACCAUGACUAUUACAGGUCAUUAGUUAGGGUAUUUAAUUAAUUACUGUAGAAUUGUUGACCUGUUGUCAUUGUGUGAUGUUUGUAUAGAGAGCAAACACACAAAGAUAGCAAUCUCUGCCAAUUUACCAUAGCUAACUAACUUCAGUUCAGUGAUAUAAGGCAUGGGGGUGAUGUAAGGUGUAGGUACUAGAAAAAUGCAGAAUCAGAUAUUAGGUAUGUGUUUCAAUGUGUUUCACUUGAGGCCGUUUGUUGGUCUGGCUUUUCUAUUACUUUGUAAAACCUUCAUCAGACAAUACAAGGUCUAACACCAAAAUCGCAAUUAAAUGUAUUAUUUCAAGUACGACAGUGUGUAGGAUUUUGUUUGUGACUUUGGAUCCAUUACACCUGUUCCGUUACAUAGAUGUGUGUUCUUCAUCUCUCCCUCAAAAUGUAACAAACUGUCAGUUGAAAAAAAUUAUGUUAUACAGAAUUUCUGGUUGACAGGUUUGCAGUUUGCCACAACAAAGGCAGUAAUGUUACACCAAAAAUUGUCGUCAUUUUUAUUUAAACAAUACCUAAAUGAUGAAUUAUAUAUUUACAUUGUUUUACAAUGAAGCCAAAAGACGCUGAAAAAUAUAUUUUAUCUUUGAGAUAUAUUACUUAGAAAGGAAUCAGGAUACGAUCUGAAACCAGAUCCAGUCUUCAUUUAGAGUCAAGUUAAUAUUAAGUAAACUAAAUGCAGAAGAGAAGCAAAUGAGGUUGACUGAAUCAAUAUACUGUAUAGCU